Molecule: ribosomal RNA, 206 nt
Filed under: uncultured bacterium
Lineage: Bacteria
Description: partial 16S ribosomal RNA
Rfam family: Bacterial small subunit ribosomal RNA
Source: RNAcentral
UGCGUAGGUGGUUUCUUAAGUCAGAGGUGAAAGGCUACGGCUCAACCGUAGUAAGCCUUUGAAACUGGGAAACUUGAGUGCAGGAGAGGAGAGUGGAAUUCCUAGUGUAGCGGUGAAAUGCGUAGAUAUUAGGAGGAACACCAGUUGCGAAGGCGGCUCUCUGGACUGUAACUGACACUGAGGCACGAAAGCGUGAGGAGCAAACA